Molecule: long non-coding RNA, 3284 nt
Organism: Cervus elaphus (red deer)
Lineage: Eukaryota; Metazoa; Chordata; Mammalia; Artiodactyla; Cervidae
Exons: 3
Source: RefSeq, a predicted model, not a curated record
UAUCCUUGCCUGGAAAAUCCCAUGGACAGAGGAGCUGGCAGGCUCCAGUUCAGAGGUCACAAAGAAUUGGAUAAGACUCUGUGUGUGACUCUGAGUGACCUGAGCACAGCACAUACCACAGUGGCCAAAAUUCGUAAAGCAUUUUUGAUUAAUUAGAUGCUUAGGCAUUUUUGUAUUUCUUUGUUCUAAAAAGCAAUAGCUACAUUUUUACUACAAAGCUAUAAGCAAACCACCCCAAAACUCCACAGUCUACUCUACCCUUGUCUAGUCUUAUCACUCUCUGCAUGUUGGCUGGGCUGGUGGGGCUCUGCUGGGCCUGCCCCGUGCCUCACCCCUGCUCCAGGGUGAGGGGCCGUUGGGGGUGUGUGUCUGCGUGGCCGUGGUUGAAGCACGGUGUGAUUUACCCGACUGCUUGAGCACAUUUCAAACCUCAUCUUGUGACCUGUCUGCUCGCAUCUGAGAAACCACCCCUGGGCUCCGAGCAGGUCCCCAGUCUCAGCCUCCCGGAUCCCUUGGGCCUGUUCUGCUGUCUGUAGAGCAAGUUCUCGUCCUGGGCACCGGCCAGAGAGUCCUCGAAGCAGAGCCUGUGACGAGGGCAGGUCUAUUCACCACAGCAUGGAGGGAUCACACGAAAGGCCCAAAGACUCCUGCUGGGUUGGAUGAAAACAGGCCCAUUAUGCCAGCAACAUGUUAAAUAAUCAAUAGGUUUGAUGUAAGAGUCUGUCUUCCAUUUCAUCCCUUUCUCUCUAACUCUCCUGCCAGUUAUUUUUUACUUUUUCCUGGAAGACAGUAUUUGCCUGGAAGAUAUGUGUAUCCAAUGAAAUCUUGAGAAAUGAGUUAUGUCCUAUCAUUAUUGCUACUCUCAAGACAUGUUCCAGGGAAAAGAAAAUAUGAGCAGGAUAUAGUUGGCAACUUUGGUGAUGAAGCUUUUCAGAGAUCUGCGCCUACCCCUGGCCCCCCAGCGUGCGAGGAGUGAUGCACUCUCUUUGCGGUGCCUCCAAGUCCCGUCACCAUCACCAGCCUCCGUCACACCACAAAGUCUAACCUCAGAAAAGAAUCUCCGCACUGAGCCGCAAGUGGGGCAGAACAGAGCUCCGUUCAUGUGUGCCAAGUGCUCAGGGUGAAUCGUGCCCUUUUCUAGAAGGAGCAGCAGGAGCCCGAGGCCUUCCCGUGAGGGACCGCGGACCUGGGGAGGGGUGGGCGAGUUGAACUCGCACUUUGCCCUAGGAGUUUGUGACCUUGGGCAGGAUUCCCGGCAGCUCUGAGCAUCAGUAUCCUCCCUGGAAAAGAAGAGCAUUAAUGUCUGACCCAUGAGGCUACAGAGCAACCUCUCCGAGGGCAGGGCCAGUGCUGUCCUGUCUACACGCCCCCCCUCCACUCCCUCCUCUGGUAGGAAGGCCCUGAUUUUCUGCCAUCCGUCCCACCUCUGAGACCCCUGGAGAUGCCAGCUGCUUCCCAGUCACUGCACGCCUUCCUCGACAGCCACAUCCCAGUCCCCUCCGCCCAGGUCCCUUCACACCUGUCUCCUCCUUGGUUAUUUCUGCUGCAGAUGUUUCAGAGACCCCACCAUCCCUACGAGUGGCUCCAAAGCCCUUGAGUCCACUUUCACAGCUUCUGCUCCUCUUGGAUCGAGGGAACCAUGGGAAUGGCCUUCUGGUCCUGGCCACGGCCCAUCCAGACUUCUUCUGCCUGUCCUCACUCGGACCCUAGCUCUCCUCUCGGCUCAGGGCAGAGACUCUGGUUUGUCCUCAGAACUGCCCACUUAGAAACAUCCCCAGCCUCUGCAGCAUGCUCUGUGAACCUUGCCAGGUGGAACCCCGGAGCUGAGAGAACCCAGAUGUCUUGGACCUGUGCUGGGGCCCAGGCAGUGAGGUGUACCUGGAGAUGAGAAAAUCAGUCCACGUGGCUUCCCCCUCCGAUGACGCUGGGCCCGUCGGUGUCUCCUCCACCUUGAUUUCCUCCAGGAGGAUUCUACAGCUUCUUCUGGGCCCGCCUUCGACCCCUCCAGCCCCCACCCUCCCUGACACGCAGCGUGCCCUUCACAAGUCCAGCUGGCCACUUCCUCACCCCAAGGCCAUGAUGGGGCCUUUCUCUGCCCCACCCUUGGGCCCCUGGGCAGAAGUUCUUCUCUCCGCUGGUGGCGGGGUGGGGGUGGGGGUGGGGUCCUGCCCUCCCCCUCCCGGUGGGCCCUGCCCCUCGCCAGCUCUGGGCCCCCUGUACCCUCCCUGUCACCUGGCUCCCUCCCAUGAUGGCAGAUCCUCUUUUCCACUCGCAGGGUUCCCAGCUGAGAAGAGCCCAUCUUCACCCUGGCCCCCCUCCUCUGGCCCUAAUUCUCUGAGGCCCCCAGAGCUCUGUCUGGGGAACGUCCGGGGAACAGAGCUCCCAGCUCAGUGGGGGCGCUGUCAGUCACUCUAGAGCAGGACAGGGGGACGGGCAGGAGGGCCCUGUGGCGGGCCGGCCGGCCGCCUCUGGCCUGGGGCCCCAGCAGGCGGUCUGGGGAGUUCCUCCCUCCCAGCCUCGGUGCGUGUCCUCCCCUCUCCCCCUAGGUCUCCACCGGAUGAUCAGAACGGGACCCAGGAAACACGGCUUUCUCAGGGUUGGCUCGGUUUGUGAGGCCAGGUCUGGCUGGCCUGGGACUGGCUGGCCUGGGUCUGGAAGCUUUCUUUCCACCAGCCGUGAGCACGGUCCACACCUCCUCAGACCCGGUCAGAGAUGCAAGCCCUCAGCCCCUCUGCCGGGGGAGCCCAAGACAGUUCCUCCCACCUGGGUGAAGCCACUCUGGUCCAGCCACCACGCUGCUCCUGGGAAGGGACAUCCCUGUGGUCACCACAUCACCCUCGGUUCAUGUCCAUCCCCCUGGGGCCACUGCGGGGCCUUCAGAGCCAUUGGUCUUGUGAACGGCCACCUCCUCCAGAAGCUCAUGAUUUUAACUCCAUGAUCAGUGACCCCACCACCCGCCCAACAUCGCGGGUCUGGAGCGUCUCCUCCUCAGGAGGGUGUGUGAUCACUGACCCUCCCUUCCCCAACACACACACCCCCCAGCAUCGCGGGCCUGGAGCGUCUCCUCUUCAGGAGGGUGUGCGAUCAGUGACACCCCCCACCCCGUCCCCUAACCACCCCCCUCCACAGCAUCGUGGACUGGAGCUGCUCCUCCUCAGGACAGAGUGCACAUUUACUGACGUGUGUGUUUAUCGCUCAUGGCCUCAGCCGCCUCCUGAUCAGGAGUCAAGGAGGGCAGAGCUUCCUCCCCUCUCACUCAUGAGUUUCCAGCUCCCAAAGCAGAG